Molecule: long non-coding RNA, 8527 nt
Filed under: Vitis vinifera (wine grape)
Lineage: Eukaryota; Viridiplantae; Streptophyta; Magnoliopsida; Vitales; Vitaceae
Description: long non-coding RNA (VVIN_LNC002038)
Source: RNAcentral
GGGUAUUAAGGAGCAUAAUAUAUAUUAUGAGUCCAAAUCUUAAUAGCUUAAGUUUUUGGAAAAAUCGAUUGUCCAACAUGGUAUUAAAGCUUUGUUUAGGGGGAGAUCGUGAGUUCAAAUUUCAACACGUGUUUAUUUCCUUAAUUUAUUGAGUCCAUGGGUAUGCUGGGAAGGGCAUAUUUAUUUCUCCAUGUAGGGAUAUGGAGCACAUGAGAAAGAGGAUGUUGGAGAGCCGAAUAUAGAUUGAGCCUAAAUCCCAAUGAUUUUAGCUUUUAGAAAAGUUGAUUGUCCAAGAAAAUUUUAGGAUGUUUUAUAUUAUUUCUUGCAUAUUUUUUAAUGAAGAUCUAAGGACUUCUAUUUGUUUUAAUGUUUUGAAAACCCCUAACUUCAUUAUUCGUUUGUUUGUUUGUUCAUUUUUUUAAUUGAUAGGUAAACUUUUGUCCAGAUUAGGACUUGAACCUAAAACCUCACAUGCCCUUCCCAACACUUCAUCACUUGUUUUUAAUGCACAACUUGUGAUACACAUUUCGUUUUCUAUAAUUAAUGAUUCUCUUAUUUCCAGCCUACUUCAAUUUGAUUUUAUCAUAAGCACGAUAUUGUGUUUUCCCAUGAUUCCUUCCUAUGGUUCCUUCUGUUUUUCUUUUUCUUUUCUUUUCUUUCCCUUUUUUUAUGUUUGUGUUAUUUUUUUUAUUUUUCUUUUGAGAUUUCCAUUAGUAAUUAGUACUAUAUAUUUUAUGUCUGCAAUAAAGCAUUAUACCCAAUAUUAUUACAAUUUUACAAGUACUUCUAAGAUAAAUACAUAAAUAAACUAUUAUUCCAACAUUAUUUUAAGUACUGAUGAGUUGUAAACAAAACAACCUGAUUAACUAGAGAUUGGAAGACCAUUAAUGGAACUAUAUUUAACCUUAUCAGAACUGAAUGUUCAUUGCAAGAACCAAAGGUUCUUACCAACCCCAAUGAGAGCAACUACAGAUGAGAUAGCAUCUACACGAUGAUGCCAUGCAUUUGCCAUCAUCAGUCCACUACCUUGCCUUUCGCCAGCUCUUUUUGUUAUCCAGUAAAGCCUGUGGGCAAGGAGAAAAAUGAUGAUGAAUCCAAAAGAAUAGCUAUAUCAUAUGAAAAGAGACAACAGAAGUCCAAAUAAAGCAUGAUUAUCCCAGGCAAAUCAUAAAACCUAAUCACAUGAGUAAAAGCACAGAGUUACAGAAAGUAGUGCCUAUAUCUACUGACCAUGAUCAAUUCAUCAAGAAAAAACCUCAUCCAGUUGAAUUCUCAAUUGACUGAACUAAAGUAGAAGUGUGUAGGGGGAGCAUGAAUUAGUAAUUACAAUGCAAAGGACAAUAGUGUGCAAUAAACAAAUUACAAUUGUCGAACGGAGAUAAUACAUAAAAUAGAAAAUCCAAGCAAAGAUAAAUUGAUCUUAAGAAUAAUAGAAUAAGAAAAAAAAUAUUUAGCUAAAAGCUAAAAAUGACAGGUAUACCCUUCUUUAAUAGCUAUAGAUACGACAGUCAUACUCAAAGCUAGUACAGGAUGAUCCACGUCGAUUCCAUGGUGAUGUCCACUAUGGUGAUGGCUAUGCACAUGCUCAUGUGCCAAUGAAUGAUUAAUUACUUCAGGAGCUGCUGAGAGCACGCCCUGCAGAUGACAAACAAUGAACUCUGAGGAAGGAGAGUGAACGUAGCAGACUCUACUACUUUCUGAGACUUAGUAAUUUGUGUUGCUUAACAAUUAUUCAUAAUUUCUUCAACUCCUAGAUACUGAACCAGAUAGAUGCCCCUUGGAAUGGGAACAGAAGAAAGAAAAAUAGUUCAUACCAGUAAAACAUCUACAGCAUGCCAUGCAAUACCUCCAGCUGUUGCCAAAAGCAUACAAGAAAUACCAAGGGCUCCUAGAGUCUCAAACUUACCAUGUCCUGAAAGAUAACAAGAGAUAAAAGCAAUUAAAGAUGUAGAAGCAUCAAGCAUGACAAGCACCAUGAUCUCUAUCAUGGGGGAAGAUAGCAUUAAAUGAUCAAUACAAUAUUAACAACCAUAACAAUUUUAUGCCUAAUAAAAGAGGGAUUUCUGGGAGACAAUGAGGAACAUAUAGCAAAAGGUUCUCUAUAGUCACUUAUCUUAAGGGAAUAAACUGUGAUGGAAGUCAUGCUCUUUAGAUGAUGAUAGCAUCAAACCGGCAUAUAGCACUAGAUGGUGAAGCAGUUCGCCUUGUUUCAUCUAUUUGCCGUUAAUAAAAUAUUUAUUUUAGUUUUGGGGCCAGUUUGACUUCUCAGGUGGAGAUAGCUCCAAGUUAGUGGGUUUUUGGUAAAUUAACUUAAUUACUUAAUAUGACUUAAUGACUUAAUUUAAGUCAUUAGGUAGAUUAAGAAUGUUUGAUAAAAUAAAUUAAUAUUACAACUAAGAGUUAAAAAUAACUUUAAAUAUUAAGUUAAAAUAGUUAACUUAGUGGGCGUUUGGUAAACCAACUUAAUAACUUAAAGUGACUUAAUAACUUAAUUUAAGUUAUUAAGUAAAUUAUGUAUGUGAGUGUUUGGUAAACCAACUUAAUAACUUAAAGUGACUUAAUAAUUUAAUUUAAGUCAUUAAGUAAAUUAAGUAUGUUUGGUAAAAUAACUCAAUGGUAUGACUUAAAGUUAAAAGCAACUUUAAGUAAUAAGUAAAAACAAUUCACUUAUUCUUAAAUCUAAAUUUUCAGUUCACCUUUUUACUCUCAUUUGCCCUAGUUACCUGCAUGAUUUCCUUUGCUACUCCACAACCUCCACUAUUACUCAACUUUUUUUACUUUAGUUAUAAUUUAUGAGGAUAAAUAUGUCAAUUUGAUGAUUUAGAAUUAGUUUUUAGUUAAUUUUAUCAAACAACUUUAAUACUUAAAGUAAUAAUUAAGUAAUAAGUUUUUAAAUCAACAAUUUAAAAAUAAUUUAACUUAAAGUCAACUUAAGUCAUUAAGUAACAAGUAUUAAGUUUUACCAAACACCCCUUAUAUUUGGUAAAAUAACUUAAUAGUAUGACUUAAAGUCAAAAACAAUUUUAAGUAAUAAGUAAAAACAAUUAACUUAUUCUUAAGUCCACAUCUUUAUUUUACCUUUUUACUCUCAUUUGUCCUAGAUACCUCCACGAUCUCUUUUGCUACUCCACAACCUUCAUUGCUACUUAACCUCUUUUGUCCUAAUUAUAAUCUAUGAGGAUAAAUAUAUCAAUUUGAUGAUUUAAAAUAAAUUUUAAAUUAAUUUUAUCAAACAACCUGAAUACUUAAAGUAAGAAUUUAGUAAUAAGUUUUAAGUCAACAACUUAAGUAUAAUUUAACCUAAAGUCAACUCAAAUCAUUAAGUAAUAAGCAUUAAGUUUUACCAAACACCCCCAUAUUCUUAAUCUCAAGAUUCUUUUACUUCAUUUACCCACACCCCCAUAUUCUUAAUCUCAAGAUUCUUUUACUUCAUUUACCCAUGUUUGAUGAUUUUUUUUUUUUUUAAUAAGUAAACAGUAACCAUGUAUUAAAAAGGGAAGCACCAAAAAGCACCCAAAGUACACAGAGAGAGUAUACAAAGGGUGCCAAACCAUGCCAACCAUGUUUGAUGAAAAUAUAUUUUACAACCAUGACUCUACAUUUACAACUAAUAUUUUAUAGUAAAUAUUUUUAUAGUUAUCUCAUGUUUCUACAAUACUUUAAAUAUGACGGUUUAACAAAUAAAUCUAUUACUUAAUAUUAUUGAAGAUAUAAAUAUUAGUUGAGAUCAACGAAGGUCAAUAUCUCAAUUUGAUGAUUUAUAAUAAAAUUUAAGUUAACUUUACCAAACAAUCUUAAUACUUGAAGUAAAAAAUAAGUAAUAAGUUUUAAGUCAACAACUUACAAACAAUUUAACUUAAAGUCAAAUUAAUUCAUUAAUUAAUAAGUAGUAAGUUUUACCCUUUGGUGGUGUUUGUUUUUUGGUUGAAUAGAAAAAGCCAAAUAUUUUGGUUUUUUCUAUUCAGAUAAAAGUAACCUAUUGAUAUCAUGUAACAUAACUAAAGUGAAUUUGUUAUCAAUAGGUUCAGUUUAGUUAUAUUGGAUGAUGUCAACAAAUUACUUUUAGCUGAAUAGAAAAAGCCAAAAUAUUUGGCUUUUUUUAUUCAGCCAAAAAACAAAUACCACCUUAGAAUAUAACUUAAUGCAUGAGCGAAUGAAUCCACCUUGGGUUGUAAAAAAAAUUUACUUCCAAGAAGACAAUGGCAUCUGAGCCUAACCAUCCAAAACUAUAACUUCAGAUAAAACAGAACCUUUUCUCCAUCACUGCCCUUUACAUCGAUAUUUACCCCUUCAUAUAGAGUUAUUCUCAAAUUGAUGACUAACCCAGUAUACACUUGCAAGCUGCAAAGACCCAAAAGCACACUAAAAACCCUAAAAAAACCUUCUAAAACAGACUUCUAGGAAUUGUAUUUGGUUCUGCUUCAUGAGUGAAAGCAACUUCCUUACAGGAAUUAAUCAGUUUACUUCAUUCUUUUCACAUAGCAAGAAACAUCCAAAGUAGCCUACGGAAUCAUCAUAUAUGUGGCUUCUUCAAAACUAUGAUAGAAAGAUAAAAACCAGGAACAACUUUUACAGGGUCAAAGGGCAUAAGCAAACCCUUGAUAAGAAUAAACUACUCUUCACACUCUUCUACCUUAUUAAAAAUAUCAAUAACAAUAAAAAUGGCAGUAAAGUAAGGCUAAAUAUGCAUAAUCAAAUCAAUGGAGUAGCUCGUAGGUACAAAUAAAGAGUGACCAUAUGGGUGUUCUUUGUCCUUAGGAGCCUUUGCAACUUUAUACGACCAUAAUGCGACACCGCUAAGAACCUGAAACAUACAGGAAGUAAUGCUGGUGAGCAAAAUCAACUUAGUAAUUACCACCACAAAAAAAGACCUAAAAUUAGAACAAAGAAAAACCUGAUCCCAAAAUUCUUCCAGCACACAAUUCAAGGGAACAAAAGAUGCAUUAGGUCUACCCAAUCAUCAAGAUGAUAUUACAUUAAUACACUCCAUCAUCAAAAUGAUUUUGAUGAACAAUUAAGGAACAAUCAAUCAAGCAAUCAAAUCCAUACAACCCAUUUCAAAUCGCUGAAUUAAGGCAUCGUUUAACUGAAUUGAAUUCCUAGCAAAUUAUAAAGAAGAAAGGCAAAUUGCAUUACCACAUCGGAGGCAGAAUGCGCUGCAUCGGCGAUAAUGGCGGUGCUGCCAGAUAAAUAGCCGGUUAAAGUUUUCCCGGUUACCAACCCGAUGUCGGCAAAGAGACCCAGCCGAAAAAUGCUCUCUCCAACCUCGCUGCUGUGGUGGUGCUGGUGGUCAUGGUGGUUGUGGGAGUGGCCAAAAUGCCACCUUCUGGGGACUCUAAAAAUGGGGUUGUGGGGAAAGAUUGAAGAAGGGUCAUAUGAUUGAGGAAUGAAGGAUCGAGUAGUGGGGUUUGGAAAAUUAGGGGUUUGGAGAAGGGUUCCGUGGGUGUGACUUGAAAUUCUUGAGACGAGGGUUUUGUGAAUGGAAUUGAGAUUUUGGAACCUGAAACCCAUUGCUGCACAAAAUCUCAAUUGGAAGAGAAAGUAGUUUGCAGAUACAGGAGGGCAGAGAUCUGGUGCUUCUGUCUUACGAUAAACCAGUGCAACAGCCAAUGUCUGUACAUGCAUUGGGUUUUUUAUUUUCUGUUCAUUUUAACAUUUUUGGGCUAAAAAUACCAAAUUAGAGGUAUCGUAUUGUAAAUAAAUUUAAUUUCUUUCAUUUUAAAUUUUGUUUACCAAAUUCUUUCUUCUCCUUUUUUUUUUCAUGAUUUGAUUCUAAUCAGAACAUGGUAUUAUAUAUAAAAGCGGUUUUUUCUUAAUUGAAAAAAAUUUCAUGGACACAAAUUCGAUAUUUUGUGAUCCACAGCUGUCACUCUUUUUACUUCACUAAGGAUUCGAGAUCAAUUGAGAAUAAAGUAAAAGGUCUCAGAAAUGGAAUAAAACAUUGAUAUAUUCCCAAAAAUAAUUGAAUGUCCACUUCAUAAUUGAGUGGGUAUCUGCUCUUGGGCCAGCUCCCAAGCAACUCAGAACCAGAAGAUGUGUCAAUGGACCCAAGAUCCCAUUAGGGCCUUAAGUCCAACAGACAAGUCCAGGGUAUAUGUCCAACCCCCAUUAAGUCUUUGAAUUCAUUUGGUAUACUCAGAGGUCAAGCAACCAAGAAUGUGAGGUCCAAUUCAUAUUCUUUACUUCUAUAUUUAUCAGUGUUCCAUUUAAAGCCAUCUGGGACCAACUUUCCAAUGAAGCCCAAAGCCCAAAUUUUCCCAUCAAGAGAAAGAUAUAAGAAAAUUUUUGCAAGUUUUAAAUGCUUUUACCAAAUGAAAUCUCCAAAGAAGGUAUUGAAUAUCCUCACAGUUGCAAUUGUAGUUUAAGGAAAAAAAAGGGCAUAAUCAGCUACUCUUAAAUGCUCUCCCAUUCAAAGGCUUGAGGCAAAGUUUCAUCAACUUUCCAACUCCAUUUCUCUGUAUUCUGGAUACAGCCCUAACCUUUGAGACCCAGUUCCCAAAACACAUCUACAUAGGCCUCACCGCCUCCGGUCGCGCCACCUCCUGUUUCCAUACUUAUUAUUAUGGUCCCGGUACCCAGACGAGUUCCGGUGCUGGUGUCUCAGUCGCUCAGGCCCAUAGUUCCGCCCGGAACUCAUUCUGGGCUCCAAAGGGUUGUGGCCACCCAACAUGUACUCUGGAGUCCUGCUAGGACUGCCCUCAGGACUCCAUGUUUCAAAAUCAUCCUCAAACACAUAUUCAUUUCGUUCUCGGGAAGGAGCUGUCAGCGGGGGAUGCUGCAAAGCUCCUCCAACCGGUAAAUUAUAAUUGUUUUGAUUAAGAGGAUUCGAAGCCAAACCCUGUCUACCUCUCCAGGAAUCCGGCACAGGGCCUAGAUUUCCCAUUGGCAUAGUAUGGUGUAGAGGAUGCGGAGGCUCGGGUGGUAACAUGGAUGAUGGCUGUUGCUGUGUUAACGGCCGUGUUGGCCUUGGCAGCAUUUGUGGCACUGAGUAUGAAAUCGGCCCUCUCUCCGGUGCAUUCAUUACAACAGAUCCGGGUUUAUGGUUGCUUAAGGUUUCAACUCUCACUGAAGGUGCUGCGGCUGCCAAUAGGCGUGGCAAGGGAAUGCCACCAGCAGGGAAAUUGUUCAUGUUGAGGACUAUUUCCGGGGUGGUUGACUGCAAAACCGAAGAGUUGGGAGGAGGGUUCUGGUGUAGAGAGGGGACUGUUGAAGGCAGUCGCUUUUCAGGUAAGACAGAAGUUGUUUGAGGGAGUGAAAAUGAUGGCAGCAUUGCCGAGGGAGGCGGCUGUUGGGACAAUGGUGGGAAAUUUGCUGGUUGUUGAGGCGGUGGGAUGACAGCCGGAGUUUGGGGCGGCAGAACCAAGUUGGUGGCGGGAAGCUGCCUUUGGGGUGGAGGCCCGGUGAUAUCGAUGUUGGCCAUUGAAACUUGUCGUGCAGGUCCGGUGAAAUCAACUCCUGGUGAAGAUGCAUACAUAUCUCUGCUGUUCACCGUUAAACCUUGCCGCGAAAAAGGGUUCUUGGCAAAUUCUGGUCUCCAUCCACUCUGUAAACAAAACCCCAAGAAAAUUUUCAUUAAUAAAUAAUUAUUAUUGAUCCAUAUUAACAUAAAAAAAAAAUUAAAAUUUUCAAAUUCGGUUAUUCAUCAUCCCCUCGUCCUUCACCACCAUUUAUAUUUUCCAAUGAGAUGAUUGAAAGGUAAUUAAAAAUGAAAGCAAAGAUGGUCAGUGAUCAGCAUCAGUCUUGAUAACUGUUUCAAUGGCACCGCGUAUACGCCAUUCAAGCUUUAACACAAUUCCAGUGACCGGAAAUUAACAAAAGCCUCGAAAAAUCCCAGUGACCGGAAUUUACUGAAACCCAUAUUUUUCUCUGCAAGUUAGUGGUGGGUUUUGGGCAUGGAGAAGAAAAAAGUGGGACCCACAGUCUAAACCCAUCAUGGAACCUUCACCAUUCCAAGUUCUUCAAUGGCAGACAUUUCCCAUUUCCAAAAUCACAGUGGUGGUUACCAACAACUCAUGAAGAAGAGACCAAAAGACUUGUUAAACAGUUCCAUGAUGGGCCAAGAUUUUCAGGCUUUACCACUUCAGUCGAUUUUCACACGAAAAUUUUGAAAAGGAUGGAGAAUGAGAAUUUGAUUCCAAGAAAAAAGAGAAUUGUAUAUAAUAUCUGACAAGUGUUGCAGUGUGAGCAUUAAGUCACGCACCGGUACAGGUACAGGAUUGCUUGAUGGAGUGGGCGAUGGAAGGGAAACCUCAACCUUCUCCUCCGCCUUUCUACCCAACCCAUUCAAAGUACCCAGGGAGCCAACCCCAUUUGCCUUGAUCAUGUCCAACAGCCUCACUGUAUCCUCACUUGAUAGGCUACCAGCUUGGCCAUUCAUCAAGGCAAAUACUAGUUCAGGGUUCUUGAGCAGCACACUUAGCAACUCAAAGUCUGGUAGAGCUGCAGAACUAAUAUUACUGCUACUUGCGUUGCCAGCAUGUGAUGAAGAGCUGGGCUCUGGAGCAACAACAGCAACUGCAAUUUUUUC